This is a long non-coding RNA of Scaptodrosophila lebanonensis, 546 nucleotides long. RefSeq lists it as uncharacterized. The record is from RefSeq and is a predicted model, not a curated record. Lineage: Eukaryota; Metazoa; Arthropoda; Insecta; Diptera; Drosophilidae. The transcript is spliced from 4 exons.
UGGAGCAGAAGUCUCGGAAAAAAUUCAAAAAUAACAAUCAAAUCAAAAAUAUUUGGCUACUUCCUAGGAUUAGACAAAAAAAAAUUUUAAGUUGCGAAAGCCAUUAGUGUUCAAACAGCUGCACGGGCUUCCCAAAUGAAAAGCACAAAUCAAAGGACAUCUCAACAUAACAAAUGCCAAACAAGAUGCAGUAUUAGACAAAUGGAUACUGAGUUAAGAAAAGGAAACUAAGAACACUUACAAAUGCCAUUUAAGCUCUCGUAGUACGCCAAACUUCUUGCUUAAAACACUUGCCCCACAAAUUAGAAUUUGUCCGGCGGACGGUACCUGGUCCUCCACACCUGAAUUUUUAUUAUUACAAAGAGGAACUGCGGAUCGCGUUUGGCCAGGACUUGCUUAUUUAUCGUUUUGUUUGCCACAUUUUUUGCCGUUGCUGAGAAGGUCAAUGCCAACUGGCUUAAAGGAAACUCAAAUAGUUUAAGCACAUUUGAAUGAUUUCCUUUAGUUUGCAUUCCCCUGAAAUAUACGACACGAUUGCAAUAUUAA